GACGAACGCUGGCGGCGUGCUUAACACAUGCAAGUCGAACGGAAAGGCCCUGCUUUUGUGGGGUGCUCGAGUGGCGAACGGGUGAGUAACACGUGAGUAACCUGCCCUUGACUUUGUGAUAACUUCAGGAAACUGGGGCUAAUAUCGGAUAGGAGCUCCUGCUGCAUGGUGUGGGUUGGAAAGUUUCGGCGGUUGUGGAUGGACUCGCGGCUUAUCAGCUUGUUGGUGGGGUAGUGGCUUACCAAGGCUUUGACGGGUAGCCGGCCUGAGAGGGUGACCGGCCACAUUGGGACUGAGAUACGGCCCAGAAGCCUACGGGAGGCAGCAGGGGGGAAUAUUGCACAAUGGGCGGAAGCCUGAUGCAGCAACGCCGCGUGCGGGAUGACGGCCUUCGGGUUGUAAACCGCUUUCGCAUGUGACGAAGCGUGAGUGACGGUAAUGGGUAAAGAAGCACCGGCUAACUACGUG
Molecule: ribosomal RNA, 468 nt
Filed under: uncultured bacterium
Lineage: Bacteria
Description: partial 16S ribosomal RNA
Rfam family: Bacterial small subunit ribosomal RNA
Source: RNAcentral